AUACGUAGGGGGCAAGCGUUGUCCGGAAUCAUUGGGCGUAAAGCGCGCGCAGGCGGUCCUUUAAGUCUGAUGUGAAAUCUUGCGGCUUAACCGCAAGCGGUCAUUGGAAACUGGAGGACUUGAGUGCAGGAGAGGGAAGCGGAAUUCCAUGUGUAGCGGUGAAAUGCGUAGAGAUAUGGAGGAACACCAGUGGCGAAGGCGGCUUCCUGGCCUGUAACUGACGCUGAGGCGCGAAAGCGUGGGGAGCAAACAGGAUUAGAUACCCUGGUAGUCCACGCCGUAAACGAUGAGUGCUAGGUGUUGGAGGGUUUCCACCCUUCAGUGCUGCAGCUAACGCAUUAAGCACUCCGCCUGGGGAGUACGGCCGCAAGGCUGAA
Molecule: ribosomal RNA, 377 nt
Filed under: uncultured bacterium
Lineage: Bacteria
Description: bacterial SSU rRNA
Rfam family: Bacterial small subunit ribosomal RNA
Source: RNAcentral